AUGAACGCUAGCGGGACGCCUAACACAUGCAAGUCAAACGGGUUUUAUGUUGUAGCAAUACGAUAUAAAACUAGUGGCAAACGAGCGAGUAACGCGUACCUAACCUGCCCCGAAGAUGGGAACAACUAUAGAGAUAUAGCUAAUUCCCAAUACUCUCUACAGAAUGAAAAUAUGUAGAGCAAAGAUUUAUCGCUUUGGGAGGGGGGUGCGUCCUAUCAUGGUAGUUGGUGAGGUAAUGGCUCACCAAGCCUUUGACGGGUAGCCGGCCUAAGAUGGUGUCCGGCCGCGAUGGAACUGAGAUACGGUCCAUACUCCUACGGGAGGCAGCAGUGGGGAAUCUUGCACAAUGGACGAAAGUCUGAUGCAGCGAUCCCGCGUGGAGGAUGAAGCCCUAUGGGGUGUAAACUCCUUUUCUGGUGGAAGAAGAAUGACGGUACACCAGGAAUAAGAGACGGCUAACUACGU
This 465-nucleotide ribosomal RNA is filed under the name uncultured bacterium. RNAcentral's name for it is "bacterial SSU rRNA". It matches the Rfam family "Bacterial small subunit ribosomal RNA", at positions 29 to 506 of the family's 1533-position model. The record is from RNAcentral.